AUUACGCACAGGUACUCUGUUUCUCUGUCCAGGUCGUAUCCAGAUUGAGUCGAUGCGGCUGAAAAGCAUCAACCAUUUGAGGAAAAUGAGAUGCCGAUGAGAAAGAGGACAAGGACGGGAAGUUUUGUGAAGGUGCCGUCUCUUCAUUACUGAUAAAUGAGAGAAGUGCUGAGGACGGCUUUUAACUUUUGGCUGCUACAGGACUGAAUGUGACCCCUGGACCGGAUUACGCACAGAAACAUUGACCGGCAGUGCAUGCACAUUGGAACAAUGGUGGAGUUUGCGUUUGCUUUGGAAGGGAAACUGGAUGACAUCAACAAACCAUUCCUUUAAUGGCUUCAGCGCUUUCACACCCAACAACAUAUUGUUAAAGCUUUCUUCAAGACAGAUCGCUUUGCCCUAGCAUAAAGAUAAUACAUUAAAUCUUGAUGUACUCGUUACAUCAUAAGAAGAAUGGCAUCUACGCUAAUUAGUGUCUUUGUUUAUCCCGAGGUUUUCCCGCAGCCUGCCGGAUCCAGGCCGUAUCCAGAUCUGGCGAGGACCUUAGCCUGGACACGAUGACGAUGACAAUGCAGUGCUGAAGUGCCAACUAGCCUCUCCCUAUGGAGGAUCCCUUUCCCACUCUACAGAUUAAGCGAUGUGAAUUCGUUUCGCGUCCCUACCCUGAAGUGAUUCGAAAAUCUGUAUCAAAUUUAUAGACAAGAAGUUUGUUCAGGCAUGAGGGAAUUUAAAAACCUGCGCGCAUAUAUUCAAACGCACAUAACUAUUGAAUCAAUUCUCAAUGCGCAUGUGAACGUCAUCAGCAGGGCUGUUACUACCAAUUUAUCACAGAUUCGCGUUUAAAGUCUAUUUAGAAACAUUCAUAUACAUUUUCACGUGACAGUUACUGUAAAUUCGGCCUCUAGUUCAUAAACGCCAGAGGAGAACUGGCCCCCGACUGAGCCUGGGUUCUCCCAAGGUUUUUUUUCCUCCAUCGGGUCACCUGAGGGAGUUUUUCAGUUCCUUGCCACUGUCGCCUUUGGCUUGCUCAGUUGGGGAUAUUCAAAUCAGUUAUACUACAGGGCUGUUGAACGCUUGAUUCUGAUUGGUUGAGAACGUUCUAAAGGUGUGCAAUUAUUUUGACGGCUAAAGUAGUUUCAGGCAAGUUUGAACCGCAUUACAGUUCCAUAUCACUGCGCGUAGUUAACGGAAAAUAGGAUACAAUUCAUAACAAGAGAAGACAUGCAGCCCCUUGCGCUUGAUCUGCAAUUUUCGAUGUCUAACUUCACAAUCAAUGGACACAUACAGUUUAAUUUUAAUAAACAAAGUAUAGUCCUAUCUAUAAUAGGCUAAAUAGAAAAUUAAACUGAAGGCUAUAUAAAUAAAUUAAUAGUCCUGCUGCACGUAAUUUCAUAAAUAUUCCAGAUAAUAUAACAAAUAAAUAAUUAUUGAUUGGCCUACUUGUAAAAAAGUGCUUUGUGUGUUUCAUUUAUUGGGUUAUCUACUGUCAAUUAUAGAAAACAAUAAUGAACAAAUUAAUUAAAACGAAGUUAAUAAAUAAAUAAUAAUAUUGACGCA
Pimephales promelas (fathead minnow) is the source of this 1557-nucleotide non-coding RNA. Lineage: Eukaryota; Metazoa; Chordata; Actinopteri; Cypriniformes; Leuciscidae. The record is from RefSeq and is a predicted model, not a curated record.